Molecule: unclassified non-coding RNA, 919 nt
Filed under: Hevea brasiliensis (rubber tree)
Lineage: Eukaryota; Viridiplantae; Streptophyta; Magnoliopsida; Malpighiales; Euphorbiaceae
Source: RNAcentral
CCAAAAUGGCUGAAAAACAACAGUUCUUGGUCUAAGAAUAAUAAAAAUCAAAUUAUCAAUAUGUUCAGCAGCCAUGACGAUCAACAUGAAUAUACAGAUGUGGGGACUCCACAGCACAUGGUUGCUAGUAAUUCAGGUACACGUUGCCAAGCAAUUUUAUGAAGGUGUUAGCUAGGAAAAUACUUUCUAUUACCAUGUUUUAAUGCAAGCAAAAUGUUCAAUUUUGCCCCUGUACUUAUUGGAGAACAUCAAUUUAGCCCAACUUUAACUUUUUGUCCAAAUUAACCAAAAAUUUUCAAUUUAAACUCAAUUUAGCCCAAAAAUUAUAAUUUAUGCGCUAAAUUUCUAGAUUUCUUGAUUUAAAUAAAAAAAAAAGAAAUUCAUUCUUAAUUUUUAAGGUAAAUUUCUUGAUUUAAGCCCAAAAAUCAAAAAGGUUAAUUUCUUAACUUUCUUGAUUUUAGGGCUCACUGGAGCUUAAAUUGGAACUUUUGGGUUAAUUUGGGCAAAAAGUUGAACUACAAGGUUGAAAUUGAGCUUUAAGCCUUUUAUAGCACAUUAAACUAAACAAUGGGGAUUAACUUCCCCUUUCCCAAUUCUCAUAAACACUCCACCCCAGUCUAUUAGAAUAUUACUAUAUUAGAAUAUAAUAUGUAAGUUAAUAAAUUGCACAAACUCUUAAAUACAUUCAGCAACUGCACUGCAUUCUGCAUAACACGGGAAGAGUUAACUUUCUCUGAAAUAAAUUAAUAAAAUAUGUACUAUAUCCAUUAACCCAUAGCUUUGCAAUAAUCAACUCACUUGUAGUUAUCACAUGAAUAAACUAAAGCGCAAUUUUUGACUUGUCAUCUCUUCUAUAAAUACUGAACAAUUUUGUAAGAGCGUGAAAAUGAACAAGAUGACAAAAAUCCAAGGGGAAAAA